Long non-coding RNA from Brachypodium distachyon (stiff brome), 421 nucleotides. RefSeq lists it as uncharacterized. Lineage: Eukaryota; Viridiplantae; Streptophyta; Magnoliopsida; Poales; Poaceae. The transcript is spliced from 3 exons. The record is from RefSeq and is a predicted model, not a curated record.
CAAAACAUAAUGGCAUAUUUGAGAGGGAAGAUACAAACGAAGUGGAAUAAAAAAAAUAAGCAGAUAAAGUUAUAGUAUGGAAGAUUUUAAAUAAUGACAUGGUGGAAGAUGUUUAAAUCAAAUAUGUUAAUGAUUUGAUUGUCUCCUACAGGUUGUUAUCCUAGGGAGCGAGAGAAAGAGGCCGCGCUGAUUUCUACGUUUGGCUGGGUCAACUUGUGUCAUCUUCCACAUCCAGAUUACCAUUCCGGCGAUCUACGAGGAUCGACGAGCUCACUGCCCACAAGGAAGUCGGGUAGCUCUCUAAGAAAUUAGAUAGCCUAUUUUGUGGGCGCAUGGACGAAAAUGUUAUUUGCAUACGCUCUAUUUGUUUUCUAAUUAUAGCUUAUUAUUACUUCAUAAUAGCUAAGAAAUAUUUAAGCUG